GAAACAAUGGAAGAGGCAGAGGAAAAAUUAAUAAGAUUAAAAAGAACCCCUAUUCUUCUCUACCAAUAAUGAGUAGUCUGGUAAAGCAAAAGCGGCUGCUGUUGAAAAAACUUUCAAAUUAAAAGCAUUAGCAAAGGAUUGAUUAAAAAUAGAUAAUAUAUUUAGCCAAAUAGCUUUAGAGUUAACUGACGAACCCACUGAAAUUGCAGAACCUAAGAAAUAAAAGCCAUAAAAAUGUAACCAAAAAAUUGUGAAGAAACAAGUCUAAAAACAUAGUCUCGAAUGGUCAUCUACAUCAAUAGUGUCUUCGAUAUCUUCAUCACCACCGUCAUUGUUAUGUAAACCUACGAAAAUAAAUAAUGAAACUAAAAAAAACGAAUUAAUGACAGUACUAACUACAUAGUUGGCUCAAAAAAAAGGAAAAAAAUUAGUUCAUAAUCUACACCAUACUACCUUGAUCAUCUUCAUCAUCACCAUCAACUAAACGUAGAAAAAUAAGAAAAAUCAACUCGAAUUUGAAGGACAUAAAUAUGCGUAUGGAAAUAGCACAUGAAGACAGUACAUUAGCAACAAUUGCUGAUAAUCCCUUUUCAUCAUCAUCAUAAAUCUGAAACAGAAGCUGAAAUGAAUAUAUUAGCAGCUAGAUCACCAUCAACAAAAAACACUGUAUCCAGUGAUUCUUUGCUGGAAUGUAUCAAACAUAAUUAUAACGGUCUAUCAAAACAAUUAGCAAAUUUAAAAGGCCAUAUCUGCUGACGUUCCCAAAUCCUAUCUGAAAUAAAAAAAUAACAGUACUCAGCUGUUAGAUUUCAGUUUAUUAACAGAUCCUGAAGGAAAUCCAGUGGUCCAAAAAUUAGAAUUUCCGCUAUCAACAAUGGAAGAUAUUAUUUUGAUAAAUUCAAUGAAAAAUUAAAAGGCCAAAAAU
Molecule: long non-coding RNA, 925 nt
Organism: Melitaea cinxia (Glanville fritillary)
Lineage: Eukaryota; Metazoa; Arthropoda; Insecta; Lepidoptera; Nymphalidae
Exons: 3
Source: RefSeq, a predicted model, not a curated record